GGCUCGGGUCUCAUGUCUU
Molecule: small nuclear RNA, 19 nt
Filed under: Arabidopsis thaliana (thale cress)
Lineage: Eukaryota; Viridiplantae; Streptophyta; Magnoliopsida; Brassicales; Brassicaceae
Description: snRNA_07732
Source: RNAcentral